RNAcentral lists this long non-coding RNA (318 nucleotides) under Elaeis guineensis (African oil palm). RNAcentral's name for it is "long non-coding RNA (EGUI_LNC027012)". Lineage: Eukaryota; Viridiplantae; Streptophyta; Magnoliopsida; Arecales; Arecaceae. The record is from RNAcentral.
CCUUUGCUUUGAUUUUGCCUUCCAUAUCUUUUUCCAUAGGGACCCUUUCUCUGAAAUGAACCCCCUCUCUGUUGUUGCUCUGGCCUUGAAGUAUUUUUGUCAACCAAAUUGAUCUUAGUUUGAAAGGCUCCAAAGGCUGACUAGUAUAUCCGCUCAUUCUUUGUUUAUAUGCUUCAAGAGAGCCCAUUAAUUUAUAUGUUGAGAGCUGAGAGAGAUUUUUAGUUUCCUUAAUAAUAGCAACUACAUAUUCAUAUUUUUAUGGUAAACUUCUGAGAAUUUUUUCAACAACUUUCUUUUCAGCAACAACGUCCCCACAGC